GCCCAGUCAAUUUGACACAUAUUAACCAUCACAGUAUCCUAAAAAGGCACAGAAACUGACAGAACCCAGGCAUCUCUGGAAUUGGGAGUGAAAGGAGGUCCAAAAUAAUGAGAACUGGGUGAAAGCAGUUUGAGAUGCAGCUAGAUCCUGAGAUCCCCUCACCCACUCCAUACUUAUUAGCAACUGCCCCUCCCUUGUCUCCAAGAAGAGGCAUUAGUACCUACAGAUGGUAAAAUAAAGGUCUGUGGACUGAGGAAACCAGGCAUAGUUGAGGAUGUGAGUACUGUACCAAAAAUAAGGGUUUAAGUGACUACUGCUAUUGAAUGUUAGAUGCUGAGUCCAGCUCUAUUCUCCCACUGGGCUCCCUGAGCAUUACCAGGAGAUUGGAACAUUUAAAGAGGCUUCUCUGGGGAAUCCAAGCGGCCUGAAACACCUAAAUAAAGUGAUCCUGGAGGUAUCCCAACAUAGGGCCUCCCCAGGGCACAUGAUAGUGACAAGCACAAUUCGUAAGCCCUACCCAAAUUCCCAUUGGUCUUUAGUCCCUCUCUUAUAAUGAUAAGACAAGCAAAUAUAUCC
This 576-nucleotide long non-coding RNA is filed under the name Homo sapiens (human). RNAcentral's name for it is "non-protein coding lnc-BLM-3:1". Lineage: Eukaryota; Metazoa; Chordata; Mammalia; Primates; Hominidae. The record is from RNAcentral.